This 202-nucleotide long non-coding RNA is filed under the name Citrus sinensis (sweet orange). RNAcentral describes it as "long non-coding RNA (CSIN_LNC005789)". The record is from RNAcentral. Lineage: Eukaryota; Viridiplantae; Streptophyta; Magnoliopsida; Sapindales; Rutaceae.
CAUGGUGCGUUUGACCUGGGGAAGAUACUCCACUCCCUAUAGGGUGGAUGAUGCAGCAGUGGAAGAGACUUGGGAUCCGGGAGCAGUGGAUUAACAAAACGGUAUUAGAUAUUAAAAAAGAAGCAGCAGCAGACAUACUAAACAGCUGCAGCCAUAGCGUGCGAUUACAGCGCAGCUGCUCGUCCCCUAUAUUGUGGGAAAA